Molecule: ribosomal RNA, 402 nt
Filed under: uncultured prokaryote
Description: bacterial SSU rRNA
Rfam family: Bacterial small subunit ribosomal RNA
Source: RNAcentral
UGACGAAUAUUAGUAAUGGGCGAAAGCCUGAACUAGCAACACCGCGUGUGCGAAGAAGGCCUUCGGGUUGUAAAGCACUUUUUGAGAGGAUGAGGAAGGACGGUACUCUCAGAAUAAGUCUCGGCUAACUACGUGCCAGCAGCCGCGGUAACACGUAGGAGGCAAACGUUAUCCGGAUUUACUGGGCGUAAAGCGCGUGUAGGUGGUUUGGUAAGUAGAGCGUGAAAGCUCCUGGCUCAACUGGGAGAGGUCGUUCUAAACUGCCGGACUAGAGGAUGGUAGAGGGAGGUGGAAUUCCGGGUGUAGCGGUGGAAUGCGCAGAUAUCCGGAGGAACACCAGUGGCGAAAGCGGCCUCCUGGACCAUUCCUGACACUCAGACGCGAAAGCUAGGGUAGCAAACG